GUAGGUGGCAAGCGUUGUCCGGAAUUAUUGGGCGUAAAGCGCGCGCAGGCGGUUCUUUAAGUCUGAUGUGAAAGCCCACGGCUCAACCGUGGAGGGUCAUUGGAAACUGGAGAACUUGAGUAACAGAAGAGGAAAGCGGAAUUCCACGUGUAGCGGUGAAAUGCGUAGAGAUGUGGAGGAACACCAGUGGCGAAGGCGGCUUUUCUGGUCUGUAACUGACGCUGAGGCGCGAAAGCGUGGGGAGCAAACAGGGAUUAGAUACCCUGGUAGUCCACGCCGUAAACGAUGAGUGCUAAGUGUUAGGGGGGUUUCCGCCCCCUUAGUGCUGCAGCUAACGCAUUAAGCACUCCGCCUGGGGAGUACGGCCGCAAGGCUG
This 376-nucleotide ribosomal RNA is filed under the name uncultured organism. RNAcentral describes it as "partial 16S ribosomal RNA". It matches the Rfam family "Bacterial small subunit ribosomal RNA", at positions 527 to 896 of the family's 1533-position model. The record is from RNAcentral.